RNAcentral lists this ribosomal RNA (407 nucleotides) under uncultured bacterium. RNAcentral describes it as "partial 16S ribosomal RNA". It matches the Rfam family "Bacterial small subunit ribosomal RNA", at positions 29 to 526 of the family's 1533-position model. The record is from RNAcentral.
AUUGAACGCUAGCGGGAUGCCUUACACAUGCAAGUCGAACGGAGUGGCGAACGGGUGAGUAAUGUAUCGGAACGUGCCCACUAGCGGGGGAUAACUACGCGAAAUCGUUGCUAAUACCGCCUACUAUUGGAGCGGCCGAUAUCGGAUUAGCGAGUGGGUGGGGUAACGGCUCACCAAGGCGACGAUCCGUAGCUGGUUUGAGAGGACGACCAGCCACAAGGGGACUGAGAAACGGACCAGAAGAAUACGGGAGGGAGCAGUGGGGAAUAUGGGAAAAUGGGGGAAACCCUGAGAGAGCGAUCCCGGGUGUGGGAGGAAGGGAUUGGGGUUGAAAAGCACUUUUGGCAGGAAAGCGGUACCUGCAGAAUAAGCACCGGCUAACUACGAGCCAGCAGCCGCGGUAAUUC